CAUCUCCAAUGGAGAACUUGUCCCCGCUACAGGAUAAGAAAUAGUUCUCAAAUCAACAAUCCAAAGGCACGAAAAUACUAAGUAAAUGUAUCUUGCAACAACAUCAAAUAGGAUUGUAGAAUAAUUUACAAAUCACAGCUCACAAUGACAAGUCCCUGGAAGGAAUUCUCACAAACAGAAAAUAAUAUGGCUCAGCACCUAGACGUUGCCUUCCUGGCUUCCUGUAGAUCGAGCAAAGAGUGAGUAGAGAGAGAACAUCGAGAGUUUGGCCAAGGAUAAGGUCACAGGGAUGCGUUCAUGCCGGCCGAACAACGCCUGUCCUCUAGCUUCGCCACGGUUGUGAAGAAACUGGAGCACGAGCCUACGAGCCAGUCAGAUGAGCACGAGCCUGGGGCGAGCGCGAGCUGCAUGACGGCAUCGCCGGCUAGUGUUUGCAAGAGCACCUAAACCAUGAGGGAAGGAGAUCGAGAGAGUGGAGCGCUGCUGCGGCGGCUACAGGUGAGGAACUAUUGAGAGAGAGGAUAGAGUUAGUUGGUUAGGGUUACUCUUGCAAUAUAUACUCUGCUCUUGGAUUGGGCCUUUGCGGGCUGCUAGUAGAUCACACGUCUUGAUGGGCCUCGCUAGUACUUAACAAAUUGGAACGGGGACGGAGGACAAGCGACCAUUCACGCCCCGUAAGACCCGACGGGGGAUGCAUUUUCCCCGUAUGAUUCCCCGUGGGGAAGAAAUUGGUUCCAUCCCC
RNAcentral lists this long non-coding RNA (742 nucleotides) under Sorghum bicolor (sorghum). Its description in RNAcentral is "long non-coding RNA (SBIC_LNC007233)". The record is from RNAcentral. Lineage: Eukaryota; Viridiplantae; Streptophyta; Magnoliopsida; Poales; Poaceae.